GAUCAUGGCUCAGGGUGAACGCUGGCGGCGUGCUUAACACAUGCAAGUCGAACGAGGCACUUUAACCUGAUUCUUCGGAUGAAGGUUUUUGUGACUGAGUGGCGGACGGGUGAGUAACGCGUGGGUAACCUGCCUCAUACAGGGGGAUAACAGUUAGAAAUGACUGCUAAUACCGCAUAAGACCACGGAGUCGCAUGGCUCAGUGGGAAAAACUCCGGUGGUAUGAGAUGGACCCGCGU
RNAcentral lists this ribosomal RNA (239 nucleotides) under uncultured bacterium. Its description in RNAcentral is "partial 16S ribosomal RNA". It matches the Rfam family "Bacterial small subunit ribosomal RNA", at positions 15 to 236 of the family's 1533-position model. The record is from RNAcentral.